CACGCGGAUCCCCGGGGGAGGCGGCUGGGGGCCCGCGUCGUCCCGGCCGAAGCUGCCGAUAGCGCGUCCGCGCAGGGUCACAGGCCGAGCGCCUGUAACUGCCACGGUGCCGCGGGCAUUGCGCUAGAAGGUGCUGGUUAUUUUCUAGACUCUCGUGUCCUCAAUAGGAGAAAGCGGUCUUCAAUCCCUAACCGAAUCUUUUAAACCACAAUUUACACGUGAGGCCUGCCCAGAACCCAGGAAACUGCAAGAUGAAGCGAAUGUUGCUGAGAAUAAAGCUGGUUAGACAACUUGACAGGGAAAAGGACCUUGGCCUUGAAUUCACAAACAAAAGGUUACAAACUCCCUGAGAUCAGGUGUUUGCCUCGCUGGUCCAUCCUCAGGAUGCAGAACAAUCCCCGGGAUAUACUCAUUUAUUGAACACCUACUGAUACAAUGAAUGAAAGAGUCCCAACAACUGCGAAGAUUAGGUUUAAAACACACGAAUCAAUGCUAGGCUGCCUAAGAAGUUUCUCAGAUCUGAGGAAUGUGGAGGCUCACGUUGCUACCACAUUGUCAUCACCCUUCCAGAUAGUUCUUCGCAAGUCUUCUAUUUGUUGGAGGUUGGACUACUCCCUUAAACUGCACUGAACUCUGACUAUAAUGGAAUGUUCUCGUGUUCAUUUUGGCCCAUGUUUGCAGUCUGUUGAGGUCUUUGGGAGUCUUGACUUUCAAGCAGAGUUGUGGCUGCAUGUCCUAGCUGGAGCUUCACAUAAAUUUGAUAAGC
Molecule: long non-coding RNA, 766 nt
Organism: Talpa occidentalis (Iberian mole)
Lineage: Eukaryota; Metazoa; Chordata; Mammalia; Eulipotyphla; Talpidae
Exons: 3
Source: RefSeq, a predicted model, not a curated record